This 63-nucleotide transfer RNA is filed under the name Schistosoma bovis. RNAcentral's name for it is "tRNA-Phe". The record is from RNAcentral. Lineage: Eukaryota; Metazoa; Platyhelminthes; Trematoda; Strigeidida; Schistosomatidae.
UUUUCCUUAGCUUAAAUUAAGAGUGUCAGUGUGAAGUUCUGGAGGUACAGAAAUGUAGGAAGA